CUACGGGAUGCAGCAGUGAGGAAUAUUGCACAAUGGGGGAAACCCUGAUGCAGCAACGCCGCGUGGAGGAUGACGCAUUUCGGUGUGUAAACUCCUUUUAUCAGAGAAGAAAAUGACGAUAUCUGAUGAAUAAGCUCCGGCUAACUCCGUGCCAGCAGCCGCGGUAAUACGGAGGGAGCAAGCGUUAUUCGGAAUCACUGGGCGUAAAGGACGCGUAGGCGGGUUUUUAAGUCAGGUGUGAAAUCCUAUGGCUCAACCAUAGAACUGCACUGGAAACUGGGGACCUAGAGUAUGGAAGGGGCAGGUGGAAUUAGUGGUGUAGGGGUAAAAUCCGUAGAUAUCACUAGGAAUACCGAAAGCGAAGGCGACCUGCUGGGACAUUACUGACGCUGAGGCGUGAAAGCGUGGGGAGCAAACAGGAUUAGAUACCCCCGUAGUC
This 439-nucleotide ribosomal RNA is filed under the name uncultured bacterium. RNAcentral's name for it is "partial 16S ribosomal RNA". It matches the Rfam family "Bacterial small subunit ribosomal RNA", at positions 339 to 795 of the family's 1533-position model. The record is from RNAcentral.